CCAUAGCCCUGAUAAGAGUGGAAAUCCUUUUACUUUUUUUCUUUAAAAAGUAAAAGAUUGCAACGGAUAGCAGGAAAUAGC
RNAcentral lists this small RNA (81 nucleotides) under Flavobacterium sinopsychrotolerans. RNAcentral's name for it is "Flavo-1 RNA". It matches the Rfam family "Flavo-1 RNA". The record is from RNAcentral. Lineage: Bacteria; Pseudomonadati; Bacteroidota; Flavobacteriia; Flavobacteriales; Flavobacteriaceae.